This is a long non-coding RNA of Triticum aestivum (bread wheat), 3058 nucleotides long. RefSeq lists it as uncharacterized. NCBI's taxonomy places the organism in Eukaryota, Viridiplantae, Streptophyta, Magnoliopsida, Poales, Poaceae. The transcript is spliced from 5 exons. The record is from RefSeq and is a predicted model, not a curated record.
GCGAUCCCUCCACGUCCGUCGAUCCAAGGACAGACCUCCAGUCGCACCAGAGAAAAAGGGCUGAAAAAAAACCUACGAAAAAAAACCAGCGAUCGCUACGAGCGAGGCCUCCUACUCGUUCGGCGCCGCCGCCGCUCCAUCCCUUCGCCCCUGCCGCUCCAUCCCUUCGCCGCCGUCCUCCACUUCAGGAGACGGAGCCGAUCGCGUUGAGGAUCCGCCGAGCCGCCGCUGUCCAGAACGCCACAUCAAACCCACCAGAUUCUUCUGCACGCACCACCGCCUCCCUUGCGAGGACGCCCGAUCAUGGGUCUCCAUCGGCGCCACGACGGCCGCGGCCUCCCGACCGCCGACGCUCCAGAUCCGCCUGUCGUUGACCCCCUCUACAUUAGUGAUCGGUCAAGGCAGGGGGCGUGGUGAUAUCCAUCUUUCCGCAUGUACGGCGGCCGGUGCCCGCGUCCGUGUAUCCUGCGCCAAGGGUGUCGUAUUCAUCUCAAGGAGGUCCUCUCAGUCCUUCCCGGCGAUGAUGCCGAGCCGGGAUUCCUCCUCCCACAGAUCCGUUGAUCCAUGGUCAGAUCUCAAGGAGGAGGGGCGUGCGGCGAUUGCCACCGUCGGUGCCUGCACUGGAAGGUCUCCGGUGCCUGCUCCAACCAGAUCCAGCCGGACUGCCAUCCCAUUGCGAUAUGUGUGCUGCUCCUGUUGUGCAUUUGCUGGUUAAGCCGCUGCUUGUGCAAAAUAUGCUUACUGCUACCCGGGCUCACAUGACCCAGAGGAGAAAGGAGCUGCGCAAGGAAUCACUGCCAGAAGACUCAAUACGAGUGUCUUGGACUCUAGGCCAAGUUCGGCAAGGAAGCAGCAAUGCGAGCUAGCCGAGGGUUCAGACUGAUGCGCGCUUUGAUUCUCGCUGAUUUAUGAUUUUGACCAAACCAAGCUGCUUUGGUCAUCACGGAGGAGAACCCGCUGUUCCUAGAGGCCUGACGCCUGGUCGAUCACAAGUCCUCCAAAGGGUGGAGCUGUUUCAGGUAGGGUACACUUGAUGUUUCAAGUUUGGUGAAAGAAAAAGAGCUUCCUAUGUUGAUUUCGGGCAAGACAUACAUUCUGCCAUGCAUUAGUAGAUCAAUUGCUUCUCUGUGCAGGGGAACAAUUAGUGAUUGAAUCUCUCUGUCACGUUUCUUGAUUAUCCAAUUAAUUUACCCCCAUCUAUUCAUAAAUUGGUCCGAUUGAGAUAUGCCAUUUUUUAUGUAAUAAUCUAUAUUGGUUCUAUAUAUGACUAGAACAAUAUGAUACGAUGCACAUCGGUCCGCUUUACUGGCAAUCUAUCUACCUAGAUGGAGGGGAGGCACUCGUGUGGAGCUGCUCAAUGUUCGAGGAGAUACAGCUAAUUAAACAAGGUUAUUUUAAAGUUCUUUGUGGUUCAUGUUAGCUAGCUAUCAGUAAUAGUACAAUCUUGAUUUUUAUGUCGUUCAGGUUUACCUAACCAUCAGUAACAUUACUUUCUAUUGGAGACUUCUUACAGGAGGUGCUUAUAAAAUGAUAGUUCAACAGGUACAGAUUUUGGAUUGCGGUCAUCUAUUUACCAGGGCAUCGGUUAACUCAAGGCAUCGAUCAAAAUUUAGCAUUCUUUGUUGUGUGCAGCAAGGGGAAGACAGAGAUUGUCUGAUAUAUGCGAUAGCGCAAUAUAAUUUCUCUUGCAUAUUUAUAAUCUGCCAUUUGAAUGAUGUUUUCUGUGUUGUAGUCCAAUCAAGACAAUUUGCAACUUUGGUGUUGUGACGUUGGAAGCAUUGCUCAACAACAAUGGGGGACUGUCGUUGAUGCCUGACCCAUGAUGCCGGCGAAGGAACGAGAGUCGACGAGGGGUGGACGCCAUGGGUUCGUGAACUGGCCAAGCCUCCGUUGUUCGUUUGGUAAUGUCCGACGCAUUAGAGGCAUAGUAUGACAUGCCCUGAUUUUUACGUCGUCUACCAACAUCUGACGAAGGAGAACCCGUCCCGGUUUCCAUCUUGAUGGUAAGUUCUUUAAUCUUCUAUCUCAUGGGAUGUGAUGUGGUUGCCUUUAUUUUGGCUUUUGACAAAGGAUUGAAAUUAGCUUAUGUGCUUCCGAAGUGAUAUUAUCAACCUUCAGCGCCACCACACUCAAAUGGCGUAGGAUAGACUGAUGUUUCAUGUGAUGUGCUUUAAGCCAUGUUUCAGCUUGUGUCGACCCAACAUGUAUUUUUAGUUUCAGUUGUUGAGCUCUGCACUACAAAACCGAGAAAGACCCAUGGCUUUUUACAGACUACAAAUAGAGGGAAAUUGGCUUGUGCCUUACUAGAGACAGAUGAACCAAUAAAAUGAUUGAAAAGGCUCUUUCCAAGCAUAAGCUCCGCUCGAUGAAGCCCUGCCACCACCAGCUAAUGCAGCCCAGGACUGCUGGAAGAAGUCCAUCGGGCAGAACUGCCGCACCAGCAGUAGGAGAGCUGCCCAUCUCCCUGGACCGCUCCAGGAAGCAGCCGGAAGAACUCCGCCAGGCAGCACUCGUCGUCCUCCUCGUCCAUGGGGGGAAGCCCCAGCAAUGAGCUCUCGUCGGGAGCGGAGUCUGGGGAAGGGAUCUGCCGAAGAGUACCGAGCUCACCGCGGCAACAGGCGCGCUCGUUGCCGCCCUCGUCCCCAUGCCCUCCAGAUCGAGAUGGAAAGAAGUGACUUUUAGGUCCGGAGGAAGAGCUGCGCGGGGCAGAGCACCGGGAGGAGGCUCGGGGUAGCUGCAUGGCGCGGCGGCGUGGAGCGGCGCGAUGCGGCGGCGUGGAGCUGCGCGGCGCGGCGGCGUGGCCUGGCCGGCGAGCAGGCAGAGAGAAAAUGGAGAUGGAGCAGAGUGUGGUGUCGGAGGGGAAUCGAGGAGUGCGAGUUAUGUCGGACAACUGUGGAGGGGGUUUUCAAAAAAUGCCAUUGCGGCAAGUAUUUGGAACCAGACUACCAGAGGGAGUAUCAAACUUGCAAUGUAGUACUCCCUCAAGCUAAUCUCUACGAAGCUUAUGUUGAAAGAUUGUCAUGUGUACUUAUCAAAUCACUGUCAUGUUGUACUUGCU